CCUACGGGUGGCUGCAGUCGAGAAUCUUCGGCAAUGGUCGACAGACUGACCGAGCGACGCCGCGUGGAGGACGAAGGCCUUCGGGUUGUAAACUCCUGUCGAGGGGGAACAAGGUGCCGUGAAGAGCGGCGCUUGAGUGAUCCCUGGAGGAAGCACGGGCUAAGUUCGUGCCAGCAGCCGCGGUAAGACGAACCGUGCGAACGUUAUUCGGAAUCACUGGGCUUAAAGCGCGUGUAGGCGGAUGGCCGCGUCGUUUGCUGAAAGCCCCCGGCUCA
Molecule: ribosomal RNA, 275 nt
Filed under: uncultured Singulisphaera sp.
Lineage: Bacteria; Pseudomonadati; Planctomycetota; Planctomycetia; Isosphaerales; Isosphaeraceae
Description: partial 16S ribosomal RNA
Rfam family: Bacterial small subunit ribosomal RNA
Source: RNAcentral